GNAUUUAUUUGGCGUAAAGGGAGCGCAGGCGGUCAGGAAAGUCUGGAGUAAAAGGCUAUGGCUCAACCAUAGUGUGCUCUGGAAACUGUCUGACUNGAGUGCAGAAGGGGAGAGUGGAAUUCCAUGUGUAGCGGUGAAAUGCGUAGAUAUAUGGAGGAACACCAGUGGCGAAAGCGGCUCUCUGGUCUGUCACUGACGCUGAGGCUCGAAAGCGUGGGUAGCGAACAGGAUUAGAUACCCUGGUAGUCCACGCCGUAAACGAUGAGUGCUAGGUGUUAGGCCCNUUCCGGGGCUUAGUGCCGGAGCUAACGCAAUAAGCACUCCGCCUGGGGAGUACGACCGCAAGGUUGAAACUCAAAGGAAUUGACGGGGGCCCGCACAAGCGGUGGAGCAUGUGGUUUAAUUCGAAGCAACGCGAAGAACCUUACCAGGUCUUGACAUCCCGAUGCUAUUCUUAGAGAUAGGAAGUUACUUCGGUACAUCGGAGACAGGUGGUGCAUGGUUGUCGUCAGCUCGUGUCGUGAGAUGUUGGGUUAAGUCCCGCAACGAGCGCAACCCUUAUUGUUAGUUGCCAUCAUUAAGUUGGGCACUCUAGCGAGACUGCCGGUAAUAAACCGGAGGAAGGUGGGGAUGACGUCAAAUCAUCAUGCCCCUUAUGACCUGGGCUACACACGUGCUACAAUGGUCGGUACAACGAGUUGCGAGCCGGUGACGGCAAGCUAAUCUCUGAAAGCCGAUCUCAGUUCGGAUUGGAGGCUGCAACUCGCCUCCAUGAAGUCGGAAUCGCUAGUAAUCGCGGAUCAGCACGCCGCGGUGAAUACGUUCCCGGGCCUUGUACACACC
This 843-nucleotide ribosomal RNA is filed under the name uncultured bacterium. RNAcentral describes it as "bacterial SSU rRNA". It matches the Rfam family "Bacterial small subunit ribosomal RNA", at positions 547 to 1391 of the family's 1533-position model. The record is from RNAcentral.